This 1296-nucleotide long non-coding RNA is filed under the name Canis lupus familiaris (dog). Its description in RNAcentral is "lncRNA (ENSCAFG00000056680.1)". The record is from RNAcentral. Lineage: Eukaryota; Metazoa; Chordata; Mammalia; Carnivora; Canidae.
GAGCACCUGUCAUGACUCACACCCUCUACUAGGACCAAGAAAUACAGAGAUGAACAGUCCAGAGCUCCCUGAGCUCGCUCGUGGAGCUCCCUUCCGAGAGCCAUGACAACGUAAGAUGGCAGGCGUCAUAAUCAAAGCAGGUGCGGAGUGCUUCAGAGCUCUGGGAAGUUCCCUGAAGCCAACUUAGCGGAGAGAACCUACUCAGAAACUUCCCCGGAGAAGUGACAUGUUACCUGGGUCUUCACGGAUUAGAGAAAGUCGGCAAAAGAGCAACAGAGAAGGAAGGGAUAUUCAGAAAGGAGGGGUCGCCUUUUCUCAGAGGAGAUAAAAUCAGGGAACUGUAAAUAAUCUAGCCAGGUGGAAGGGAAGCCCCCAAGGAUCGAGGAAGAAAGAGUUUCAGAAGAGAGAGGUAAAUGGGGAACAAGAACAUAAUGGUGAAGGAAUUUAGUCAGAAAGGGACAAAAUUAAAUACACACCUUAGAGGACUCUUGCUGCAGAGAGGAGCCGGCGAAGGGGGACAGGAAGUGCUCAGGCCAAGGGUGUGUGAAGGAUGGGCUCAACAAACAGGAAAGCACCCAUCCGAGAGUCAUGAUGAGUUUGGCACUGACAGGAAAUGGUGGCUGAUUGUGGUGUGUGUGGGACUUAGAAGGGGGGCAGAGGAGGGAGCUGAAGGGAAAGAAAAUGUGGAGAAUGAUCCACAAGUCUCCGAUGUUAGGAACUCUGUGGCCCAGAAGCACCCCUGACUGUCACAGGAACUAGAGCUGGGCCCACUGCCCCCACUGGAGUCUUAAAUGCUCAGGGCAUCAUGGGGCUGGGACUAAGCAGACAUCAGAGCCAACUAGUUAAUAAUAAUAUUACAGUAGCCAACAGUCCACAAAAUAACCUGUAUAACUAGGUGCUGUCACCGGAAUGUUUGCAUCCUUCUCAAACUUCACACGUUGAAAUCCUCACCCCCAAGGUGAUGGUACCAGGAGGUGGGGCCUUUGGGAGGCAUCGGCUCCUUAGGGAUCCGUGCCCUUAUAAAGGAGGCCCAGAGAUCCCUUCCACCAGGUAGCAGCAGACCUUCCCCAGACACUGAACCUGCCAGUGCCAUAAGCUUGGGGCUUCCUAGGCUCCAGAACCAUGAGAAAGAUGAGGAAAGGAGAAAAGGUGGGAUACCUGGGUGGUUCAGUCGGUUAAGCGUCUGCCUUUGGCUCAGGUCCUGACCUCAGGGUCCUGGGAUUGAGCCCCACGUUGGGCUCCCUGCUCAGCGGGGAGUGUCCUUCUCCCUCUCCCUCUGUUCCUCUGCUCAUGCUC